AGGGGCUGACGGCUAGGGUUAGGGUUCGGUGUGAAGUGAAAUAUUUAUAUACAUGUUCCUUUAAUCUGAGUCGUUCAUCGUGUUUGAUCUCGACUGUCCAAUCGCGUUUAAAGAAAAAAUGAAUUUAGAUCAUUUAUCGUGAUUUGAUUUGGACCGUAUAAUCGCGUUUAAAGAGGGAACGAAUCCGAACCGUCCAAGCGCGCGAGAACAAAUAUGGACCGUCCGAUCGCGGGCACGCAGAUUGCCAGCGCAGCCUCUCGCAUGACACCACAU
RNAcentral lists this long non-coding RNA (273 nucleotides) under Carica papaya (papaya). Its description in RNAcentral is "long non-coding RNA (CPAP_LNC012659)". The record is from RNAcentral. Lineage: Eukaryota; Viridiplantae; Streptophyta; Magnoliopsida; Brassicales; Caricaceae.